RNAcentral lists this microRNA precursor (133 nucleotides) under Pelobates cultripes (western spadefoot toad). The record is from RNAcentral. Lineage: Eukaryota; Metazoa; Chordata; Amphibia; Anura; Pelobatidae.
GAUAUAUAAUAUGUUAGGCAUUUUAUCUCUAUCUCUCUCUCUCUCUCUCUAAUCAUUCUUGAAUAUAUAUAUAUUCCCAAGAAUGAUUAGAGAGAGAGAGAGAGAGAUAAAAUGCCUAACAUAUUAUAUAUCU